UUGCUUCAGGUGUGAUAGUUUAUCUACUCCUUGGCGGACAUGCA
This 44-nucleotide ribosomal RNA is filed under the name Pterula sp. 984. RNAcentral describes it as "partial 28S ribosomal RNA". The record is from RNAcentral. Lineage: Eukaryota; Fungi; Basidiomycota; Agaricomycetes; Agaricales; Pterulaceae.